RNAcentral lists this transfer RNA (92 nucleotides) under bacterium. RNAcentral's name for it is "tRNA-Ser". It matches the Rfam family "tRNA". Rfam says of the family: Transfer RNA (tRNA) molecules are approximately 80 nucleotides in length. The record is from RNAcentral.
GGAGAGGUGGCUGAGUGGUUUAAAGCGGCACCCUGCUAAGGUGUUGGGGGUGUAAAAGCUCCUCGAGAGUUCGAAUCUCUCCCUCUCCGCCA